GACGAACGCUGGCGGCGUGCUUAACACAUGCAAGUCGAACGGAAAGGCUCCAGCUUGCUGGAGUACUCGAGUGGCGAACGGGUGAGUAACACGUGGGUAAUCUGCCCUGCACUCUGGGAUAAGCCUUGGAAACUGGGUCUAAUACUGGAUAUGACCUUUCUCCUUAUGGGGUUUGGUGGAAAGUUUUUCGGUGUAGGAUGAGCCCGCGGCCUAUCAGCUUGUUGGUGGGGUGAUGGCCUACCAAGGCGACGACGGGUAGCCGGCCUGAGAGGGUGAUCGGCCACAUUGGGACUGAGAUACGGCCCAGACUCCUACGGGAGGCAGCAGUGGGGAAUAUUGCACAAUGGGCGGAAGCCUGAUGCAGCGACGCCGCGUGAGGGAUGACGGCCUUCGGGUUGUAAACCUCUUUCAGCAGGGACGAAGCGUAAGUGACGGUAUCUGCAGAAGAAGCACCGGCUAACUACGUG
Molecule: ribosomal RNA, 467 nt
Filed under: uncultured bacterium
Lineage: Bacteria
Description: partial 16S ribosomal RNA
Rfam family: Bacterial small subunit ribosomal RNA
Source: RNAcentral